GACGAACGCUGGCGGCGUGCCUAAUACAUGCAAGUAGAACGCACAGUUUAUACCGUAGCUUGCUACACCAUAGACUGUGAGUUGCGAACGGGUGAGUAACGCGUAGGUAACCUGCCUGGUAGCGGGGGAUAACUAUUGGAAACGAUAGCUAAUACCGCAUAAUAUUAAUUAUUGCAUGAUAAUUAAUUGAAAGGUGCAAUUGCACCACUACCAGAUGGACCUGCGUUGUAUUAGCUAGUAGGUGAGGUAACGGCUCACCUAGGCGACGAUACAUAGCCGACCUGAGAGGGUGAUCGGCCACACUGGGACUGGGACACGGCCCAGACUCCUACGGGAGGCAGCAGUAGGGAAUCUUCGGCAAUGGACGAAAGUCUGACCGAGCAACGCCGCGUGAGUGAAGAAGGUUUUCGGCUCGUAAAGCUCUGUUGUAAGAGAAGAACGGGUGUGAGAGUGGAAAGUUCACACUGUGACGGUAUCUUACCAGAAAGGGACGGCUAACUACGUG
Molecule: ribosomal RNA, 505 nt
Filed under: uncultured bacterium
Lineage: Bacteria
Description: partial 16S ribosomal RNA
Rfam family: Bacterial small subunit ribosomal RNA
Source: RNAcentral